AAUAAUAGAGUAACUAAAAAAAAAACUGCAAUCACAUAGUAACGCAAGAACAAUCGCUUUGCCCUAACCCCCAAAUUGAAAUUGAAAAUGAAGAAUAAUCGCUGCAUAUGAACGGAACGAAAACGAAGAUGAAACUGACGAACACCAAGAAGAAGGAAAUGGUGAACUCGAAGAAAGAAACGACGAAGAAGAAGAACGAAAUUGUGAAGACGAAGAAGAACAAAACUGAGUCCGUGAGGAGGUAAAG
RNAcentral lists this long non-coding RNA (247 nucleotides) under Trifolium pratense (red clover). RNAcentral's name for it is "long non-coding RNA (TPRA_LNC014113)". Lineage: Eukaryota; Viridiplantae; Streptophyta; Magnoliopsida; Fabales; Fabaceae. The record is from RNAcentral.